CAAAGAAACAAAAGAAACUGAAACACCGUUUGUUGCUAUUUCCCGAUCGGGCCUCUCCGAUCUGAUUCGAUAUUCUCUCUGGUAGGCUUUCUCCGAGACCAACACUUCCUUUUGCUUUCUUCAUCAAAAGGAUCCCUGUCUGUCUGAUUAGGACUCGUUUUUGACUAAGAAAAAAAAAGGAUGGGGGUCAAGUUGAGCCCUGCUGUCUCCAAGAAACAAAGGACCAUUCACUGUCAGUGUCUCGAUCUGGCAAAUAUAAGAGAUCCUUGUUCAAAAAAGAUCUCUAACUUCUCUACAUGGAGUAACUUGACACUUGUGGGUCGUCAUGAUUUUCUUGAUUUAUUACACUAAGAACAUGAGC
Long non-coding RNA from Brassica oleracea var. oleracea, 361 nucleotides. RefSeq lists it as uncharacterized. The transcript is spliced from 3 exons. The record is from RefSeq and is a predicted model, not a curated record. Lineage: Eukaryota; Viridiplantae; Streptophyta; Magnoliopsida; Brassicales; Brassicaceae.